GACGAACGCUGGCGGCGUGCUUAAUACAUGCAAGUCGAGCGAGGUUACUGUUUUGGAUCCCUUCGGGGUGAAGAAGCUUUAACCUAGCGGCGGACGGGUGAGUAACGCGUGGGUAACCUACCCCAAAGUCCGGGAUAACAGCGGGAAACCGCUGCUAAUACCGGAUGUCUUUACCUUGGGGCAUCUUGAGGUAAAGAAAGGUAACGCUUUGGGAUGGGCCCGCGUCCCAUUAGCUAGUUGGUGAGGUAACGGCUCACCAAGGCGACGAUGGGUAGCCGGCCUGAGAGGGUGGACGGCCACACUGGGACUGAGACACGGCCCAGACUCCUACGGGAGGCAGCAGUAGGGAAUAUUGCGCAAUGGACGGAAGUCUGACGCAGCGACGCCGCGUGAGCGAUGAAGGUCUUCGGAUCGUAAAGCUCUGUCCUUGGGGAAGAAGGUCUUCGGACUUGACGGUACCCAAGAAGAAAGCCCCGGCUAACUACGUGCCAGCAGGCCGCGGUAAAGUCGACGUCG
This 516-nucleotide ribosomal RNA is filed under the name uncultured bacterium. RNAcentral's name for it is "bacterial SSU rRNA". It matches the Rfam family "Bacterial small subunit ribosomal RNA", at positions 28 to 533 of the family's 1533-position model. The record is from RNAcentral.